AACAUUGUCCAUGUAAAUUAGCACUGUCCAAACAUUUUCCAGCACCGUCCAAACAUUGUCCAUGUAAAUCAACGAUUACAAAUCGUUGGUUAGUCACUCAAGCACGAUCUUGUGCUUGUGGCCCAUCCGAGACUUGGAAUUUCAUCAUUUUCUGGCAAAGUAUAUAUUUCAGCGGGCUUAUCACAACCAUUGUGUCAAAAAUUACAUAUCUCACUAAUUAGAGAUAUUAAAGUUGAUUUGGUAAGUAAAUUCAAACCCCUGUAAAUAUACCAUGCAUAGCUACUUUUGGAUUAAAGUUGAUUCACACUCCAAGGUGCCAAACACACUGGGAGGAUUUCAAAUCUAAGGGGUUUCAAAUCCUGGGGGUUCCAAAUCCACGCUCCCAACAGGCCCUAAGAAUGAUUGGGUCCUCUGCAUUGGACUGAUCCGAUUGACUAUGAAGAACUCUGGGCAAGACCAGCAUUGGGUGCAAAGCAUCUCAUGUAGUUCCAACUAUUGUCGAUCGUCCAUGUUUGACUUUGGUCGACCGUUUAAGUUUGGGAUAGCCGACCCAAAGCAGACUAUUCACUUACACGAUUUGCAGGACUUGACCCAUCACAAUAACAAUUUAGCUUAACAAUACACGAUAAUAAUCACAAAACAAUUUAAUAUCACAACAGAGUAUAUCAAUUUAAUACCUAUACGAAUCAGCACAAUCCAAUGUAUAUUGACACAAUCCCACGUAUAUAUCAAUAAUCACAUAUUCAUACCCCACCCGGUAUAUCAAUAGAGUCCCACAUAUAUCAAUAACUCAUAUUAAUACCCCACCAGGGUAUAUCAAUAACUCAGAUUAAUACCCCACUAGGGUAUAUCAAUAGAACACAUAUAUGAACCAUUACAAUCCAUUGUGUAUUAAUACAAACCAAUGUCCAUCAAUAACGCUUAUCAAAUGGCCUAAAAUGGUUCUAACAGUAGGAAUUUCAUAUUGAUUAAGCAUUUCAUCAAACAUGUUGCCUACCAAUUACAGGUAACAUUAGGGUUGUAAUUAUAAAGCAAUUCAAGCACAAAUAGCAUAUGAAAUCUUAUAGACAACAAAAAAUCAUUAUCUAACACCAUCAAGGAUUGAUAAAAUGAAACUUAGAAGAGUAGUCCGCUCCUUAGUAGAGAAAUUUAUCAAUCUUCGGGUACCUAGGGUUUUACAGUUUUAGGGAAAAGCCAACUCCUAAAUCAAAUCGAAAGGGAUAGUGUAAGAUUCAUGGAAUUUGGUGCUAAAGGGUUUUGAAAUUGAAAGGUAGGAUUCAUUUCAAACCUCCAAUUCUAAAAAGUGGUGUGUCCGACGAACAGUGGAUCUGGUGAUCCAUGGCCUGAGCUGGGUGUUUAGAUGAUAAACCGUCAAACUAGCAUCACGUACCUGAUGGACAGUGGAUUUGGUGAUCCAUGGCCUGAGUUUAAUUGAGUUUGAAUUUUCAGAAAUGAGGUUCCACACAUACUUUCUAAGCGUUUUGAGUUUUAAUUUGGGUGCGUGCACAUAUGUUUACCUAAUUAAUCAGAAAAAUUCCUAGUGACACCCGAGUACAUCUAAUACUCGAGUAUUGAAAAAUCCAGGACGUUACAGUUAAUUAGGCACGCCUAGAGGAUUUCUGAGCCAUGCAUCAGGUUGCCUUACUGUGUAUAUGCCCUGGCAAAGAAUCAGGCUGGUUAAUGCAUCAGGUGGACCACACCUCUAUGAAAAGACAAGUGGAACAGUUCCCAUUCAACAUAGACUCCUCUGAUUUUUGGGAUGGGUCAUCUUACAUGGUUGGGCUAAAUGUGGGUGUGGGUAUAUUAUGUAUUGUAUUAUACGUUCCAUAUAGAAUCUAUUGGAUGUUAAAUGUUCGUUUUUUCCCUAAAUAUAUAUAUUUUUUUCUUUUUUUCAAGAGUAACGGACAUUUUAUUAAGAGAGCAUUGAGAUGGCAGAAGAAUCAAUUACAACCGAAGCAAAAAGGAGAAAUUACAAUCUUCCAAGGAUUUCCCUUCAAGCUCUUUGAGAAUUACCCGAUUUGAGUUGUGAGUAAGAUUUGAUACAAGAAGCCCAUUCCACCACAAGAAGCUUGAUUUUGGAGACGACUUCUUCUGCCUUGAUGGACUCAUUUCGGAAGCAACUUCCGAACCUUUUCCCCCAGACCAUAAAGAAGCCAAUUAGGUCAACCUCCAAAUUGCUCUAACCUUCCUUUGUAGCCGAAAUCCAUGCCACGGCAAAAACAACUCUCCAACCGACUUUGGCAUGACCCAAGGAGUAUCAAAGAGGCCAAGGAAACAGCUCCAAACUUCUUUUGCUUGCGAGCAAUGGAUGACACCUUUUCAUGGCGAUUCUUGUGCUCUCAACAAUGUUUUCUCCAAGGCUACCACUGAAUCCUGCCCAUGGAGGCUUGCUGAGUUGGGGGAAGUUUGGGAUGUCAGUAGGGGCAAUCUGGUCAAUUAAAUUAAUUUCUAGAGAGGAGUAUGAAGAGGCUGACCUUCUUGCCAAGAUGGGAACCACUAGCUCUUGCCUUCAUAUCACUGGCAUUAGGACUCAUCAGUCAUCAUCAUCUUCAUCUAAGCCUUGUCCCAACUAAUUGGGGUCAGCUGCAUGAAUCCUGUUUUGCCAUUCCACAAUAAAGGAAUAUCAUUGAAGCUAGAACUGUGGUCUGGAUUCAUCCUGCUGCUUUUGUGUUUUUUUGGGAUUGGCUGCUGUUUAUAUCUAUCUUGGAUCCGGCUGUUUUUUCCUUCUUAGCUGAGUAUCUGUAGUGGGUUACUCUUGUGCUCUAUUUGUAUUUUCUUAUUCUCCUCUUUGCUGUAAUAAAAUUUGUAGAUUACCCAUAAAAGAAAAUUAUCUCAAUGGUUGAAGAGGUCUUUUUCAUGGUCAGUUAGGUGAUGUGGUUACUGCAACAUCCUUGCCAAGAUAAUUUUAGAUGAGGCAGAAGCUCUGGCCCAAGGUGCACCAUUUGGGAUUUUUUAUUUAUAUUGGGGAGGUUGAGCUUUCUAAUAUCAUCUGUUGGGUCAGUGGUUAGUUGAUACCUUCAGGAGAAGAUUCACUAGUUUGACAAGGAGUUUCUCAGAUUGAGGAGGAAUUCCAUGGGAAAUGGAGAACCUGGAGAAUGAAAACAGAAUUUUAGACUUUCAUUUCAGCAUAUCCACCAAACAAACUUUUAAUGCCUGCUCUGGAGCUCUCUAGGAACGGAAAAUCCACGGAAUGAAUUCCCCAACAACCAAACAACCCCUUAGUAUUUAAGAAUGCAGGUAACUUAUUUCUUCUUCUUGAUUCAGUUGCAGACAUGGGUGUAGUCGAGGUGGUGACUGAUAGUGCAGCUGCAGAUGCAGAAGAUGCAGGAAAAUUUUGAUGAAGAAGAUAAUAAAUAUAUUGUUCAACAUGUGCAUGCCAUUUUUUGGAUCCUAUUUUCAAAGCUACUGAAAUGCUACCUAUUCACUCCGACAUGGUUGUAAAGGCAAGGGUGAUUAGAGCUGUACAUGAACCGAGUUAGCUCGGUUAACUCGCUCAACUAGGCCCGAAACUGGGUUCGAGUUGAGUUGAGCUCGAAAAAAUUUUGAGCCGAGUCCAAGUUAGACUUGACUCCGCUCGGAACUUGACUCAGUUCGAAUCGAUUCGACUCGGAUCGGGUUUACUUAAUAUAAAUAUUUCGUGUGUGUGUGUGUGUGUAUUAAAAACCCUAAAACCUAAACUCGAACCCAGGUUGUAGGCUCGAACUCGAACUUGGCUCAAAAGAUUGGGCUUGAGCUGGCCCGAGCUGCUGACCGAGCCGAGCCAAGCUGGCCAGUCAGGCUCGAGGACCGAGCAAGCUGAGUUUGAGCUGGGGUAGCCCGUUGGCUGAGCCGAGGUAGGCCAAGCUUGACUUGGUUCCGCUCAUGUACAGCUCUGGGUGAUAAUUGUGUAUAUCAGCAAGCAUUCUUUGAUUUUAAAUCUCAUGCAGAUGCACACUAGGAGGAAAGAAUUGACAUGAUCUGCAGCUCUGCUGUUACAUGCUCUGUUUCUUGGAUGAUGCACAAUCGAAAUUGAAAGUGUUUGGAUCUGAAGAAUGACAAAUACAUACUGCAAAGAAAUCAGAACAGUUAAAAUAUCACAAUAUCAUGCUGUCAGAUGCAUAUUUUUUGGGCGUUCAUCAAGUAUUUCAUGAGUUGUAGUACAAGUGGAUUUGGAUGGAAGGCCACCCAUGGCUAUAUAUUUGAUUUGGAUGGAAGGACGGUCAUGGGCUAUGUGGAUGAAGUGAUGGCCAAGCAAAGGAAGAAAAUGGUAUGGUAUGUGCCUACUUGGAGGAUAACUGGGUGGCUUUUUUUACUUCUUUUUUCUUUUAUCUUUUUAAACUUGUGCUUCCAUUAAGAUGGUAUGUGCCUACUUGGAAAUGAAAGAAUGGGUCGAAUUUCUGGAGAAGAGGUUAAGACUGACCGAUGGACAUGAUUAAGAAUGCGGAAGGAUUAUUAGUUGGAGGAGCCAUGUCAAAGAUUAGAAGGAAAGCAAAGCAGAAAAUUUUAUAUGUAGAGCUCUAUGGUGUCUUUCCGGGGAAAAAAAGAAAAGUAUAGAGGUUUAUGGUGGAAGUCCUCGUGAAAAGUUGAUGAUUUUUAGAAAGAGUCUUACAUGUAAUGCUGCUAUUGUAAAUUAAUGCAAGGGUAUUUUCACACUGGGCUCGAGUGGGGUGACCCAUGGGAUGUAGGGGCACACUCGGGGUGGGCGGCCCGUGUGAAGCGGGCCCCACUUGUGUGAAAUGGGUGGCUUGUGUAAAGCGGAACCCAUGUAAAGUGGGGCCCACGAGGGGGGUUUGGUCGAGGUCUUAACCCAUAGGAUGUGGGGCAUGUGCUAUGAGAUAAAGGGAUUGAUUCAUCAUGCUCUAUCAGUUCGAGCUUUUAUAGCAAGUGGUUAAUUGUCUUGCAUCAAAUUAGUAUCGGAGUGGGAGAGUUAAUCCAUUUAUCUCAUAGCUCAGGCUCCACAUCCCAUGAGUUAUGACUCACACGAGCCACCCGCUUCAUAUGGGUGGGGCCCGCCUCA
Magnolia sinica is the source of this 4996-nucleotide long non-coding RNA. RefSeq lists it as uncharacterized. The transcript is spliced from 3 exons. The record is from RefSeq and is a predicted model, not a curated record. Lineage: Eukaryota; Viridiplantae; Streptophyta; Magnoliopsida; Magnoliales; Magnoliaceae.